AAGGUAGCGAAAUUCCUUGUCGGGUAAGUUCCGACCUGCACGAAUGGCGUAACGAUCUCCACACUGUCUCGGCCAGAGACUCGGUGAAAUUGCAGUCGCGGUGAAAAUUCCGUGUACCCGCAGAAAGACGGAAAGACCCUGUGCACCUUUACUAUAGCUUGACAUUGGAUUUUGGGCCUGCAUGUGUAGGAUAGGUGGGAGGCUGUGAACCCUGUACGCCAGUAUGGGGGGAGCCAUCCUUGAAAUACCACCCUUGCAUGUUUAAGAUCCUAACUUCUUCCGGUUAUCCCGGAGAAAGACAGUGUCUGGCGGGUAGUUUGACUGGGGCGGUCGCCUCCUAAAGUGUAACGGAGGCAUGCAAAGGUUCCCUCAGCCUGAUCGGAAACCAGGCGCUGAGUGCAAACGCAUAAGGGAGCUUGACUGUAAGAGAGACAUCUCGAACAGGAACGAAAGUUGGCGUUAGUGAUCCGGUGGUCCCGAAUGGAAGGGCCAUCGCUCAUUGGAUAAAAGGUACGCCGGGGAUAACAGGCUGAUCGCAUCCAAGAGUUCACAUCGACGAUGCGGUUUGGCACCUCGAUGUCGGCUCAUCACAUCCUGGGGCUGAAGCAGGUCCCAAGGGUACGGCUGUUCGCCGUUUAAAGUGGUACGCGAGCUGGGUUUAAAACGUCGUGAGACAGUUUGGUCCCUAUCUUCUGUGGGCGAAGGAGAAUUGAGAGGGCCUGUCCCUAGUACGAGAGGACCGGGAUGGACGCACCCCUGGUGAUCCUGUUGUCGCGCCAGCGGCAUAGCAGGGUAGCUAUGUGCGGAAGGGAUAACCGCUGAAAGCAUCUAAGCGGGAAGCCUGCCUCAAGAUAAGUUCUCCCCUCGAAAGAGCUGAAGGGCCCGGGUAGACUACCCGGUCGAUAGGCUGGAGGUGUAAGCGCGGCGACGUGCUCAGCUGACCAGUACUAAUAGCCCGAGCGGCUUAUUUUU
Molecule: ribosomal RNA, 972 nt
Filed under: metagenome
Also listed under: 1 other name
Description: bacterial LSU rRNA
Rfam family: Bacterial large subunit ribosomal RNA
Source: RNAcentral